Erinaceus europaeus (western European hedgehog) is the source of this 1099-nucleotide long non-coding RNA. RefSeq lists it as uncharacterized. The transcript has 4 exons. The record is from RefSeq and is a predicted model, not a curated record. Lineage: Eukaryota; Metazoa; Chordata; Mammalia; Eulipotyphla; Erinaceidae.
GUGUGGUAGCGCAGGGCUGAAACCCAGGUCUCACCAACGACAAAGCAGUCACUGUAUAAGCCAGCUAUUUUGCUAGCCCAUCAGUUGCUUUCUUGCUCGUCUCAAAGAAAUGAACUGCUCCUCUUUCAUCCUAGAAUCCAUAUUACUUUGCAAACCGACCAGCAAGUGCUGCUAUUGUCACUGAAAAGAAAAAUGAGUAUACUAAGAACCUUCUCAAACAAAUAGAUGCCAAUAGUAAACUGGCCAAGAAAAAGAAAGAAAAUCAGAAAGUCUUGGAGCAACUAGAACGGCUGCAACUCAAACAAGACUCAGCCUGGGAUGAACAUUUCUCUCAAUUCCCAGUCCUGAGGAAAGAGAGUGUUUGGUUGCACUUGGCCUGAGGCUGAGCAUUUGAGUCAGGGAGGAGGUCAGGAGAGCAGUGAGGGAAACUGCUGUGGGGAAGACUCCCCCAAAUGGAGGAUUGAUGAACAAAAAGCUGAACUGAAGAAACAUCAAUUUGAGGAGAGAGAAAUGUAUAAGAAAGCACUGGAAUACCAGCUGAAACACAGGCCUUCCAGACUGCCCAUCUACGAGCCCAUGGGCACCUUCACCAACUUUGGGCAGAAUGAAAAGACCCUGGAGGCCGAGAAGCGGCAGAGAAAUAUUGAAUAUAUGAAGCAGCAGGUGGAAGCCGCUCUAGGCCACAGAAGACAGCGUGUCCUCAACCAAAUAAAAAAUCUGCAGCAAGAAAAAAAAAUGCUUCAGAAAAACCAAGAAAAGUAAGGGGCCUGGCCCUUCCUUCCUCACCAUAACCCUCUCCUCCUUUCUCUCCCUCUCCUCCCCCACCCCUUGACAACAACCUUAGUAGAAACAUGUGUGGACACGUGGAGAGUCAUGACUGACCCUAGCUCGCCCCAGCCUGCUUCUCAUCUCUACUCCCUAGUCAACUUCUGAGGCUGUUGCAUGUCACAAACCACCUUAUGGGAUGAGUAUAAAUACAAUAUGAGUAUAAAUACAAUAGUUUGCACAUGCAUAGCAUUUCUCAGUUUUCCACAUAACAAUGCAAACCGCACUAGAUGCUCUGUCAUCAUUUUUGGACAUGGACACUGCCCCCCCCCCC